Molecule: ribosomal RNA, 491 nt
Filed under: uncultured bacterium
Lineage: Bacteria
Description: bacterial SSU rRNA
Rfam family: Bacterial small subunit ribosomal RNA
Source: RNAcentral
GAACCGUUGGCGGCGGGUUUAGGCAUGCAAGUCGAACGCGAAAGCAUCCUUCGGGGUGUGAUUAGAGUGGCGAACUGGUGAGUAACAGGUGGGUAAUGUGCCCCGUAGUGUGGGAUAACUGCUGGAAACAGCAGCUAAUACCUCAUGUGGCCGUGUGGACGUUGGUCCGUACGGUUGAAGAUGCGCUUCGCGCGUGUCGCUACGGGAUCAGCCGCCCCCGAUUAGCUAGUUGGUGGGUAAAAGCUCACCAAGGCUACGAUCGGUAGCUGGUCUUAGAGGAUGGUCAGCCACACCGGGAUUGAGAUACUGCCCGGACUCCUACGGGAGGCAGCAGUCUAGAAGCUUCUACAAUGCGCGAAAGCGUGAUAGAGCGACGCCGCGUGCGGGAUUGAAGGCCGUGAGGUCGUAAACCGCUGUCAGCAGGAAAGAAUGCCUGGAUGGCGAAUCCAGGAGAGACGGUACCUGCAAAGGAAGUCCUGGCUAACUCCGUG